Molecule: non-coding RNA, 546 nt
Organism: Poecile atricapillus (Black-capped chickadee)
Lineage: Eukaryota; Metazoa; Chordata; Aves; Passeriformes; Paridae
Source: the annotation of a RefSeq genome assembly
AUGGGGAUGAGCUGCGUCCGGAACCUUCCGGAACCUUCCGGGACCGCGCCCGGAUCCGGCUUUGCCUCAUCCCCAUCUCCCCUUUUUCCCGCAGGGCUCCGGGCGGCCGUGACCCUGCUGGAGUCCGGGGGGGACCUCCAGCCCCCCGGGGGGUCCCUGCGCCUCCUCUGCCGAGGGGACGGAUUCACCUUCGGGAAUUUCGACAUGUUCUGGAUCCGCCAGAGACCCGGGAAGGCGCUGGAAUUUGUGGCGAGCAUCAACAACAAUGGUGGCACCACCAAAUACGCGCCGUCGGUGCAGGGCCGGUUCACCAUCAGCAGGGACAACGGGCAGAGCUCGGUGACGCUGAGCAUGAACAACCUCCAGGACGAGGAUUCCGGGGUUUAUUUCUGCGCCAAAACUUUUGAUGGUGGUUGGGGUGUUGGUUGGGAUGUUGGUUUUAGUGAUGGUGCCCAUGCCAGACCCAAGCCACGACCGUUGGUGGAAACCAAACCCCCCAGAAUUCCCAAAUCCUGCCCCAAUCCCAGCCCUGGGCCCCAAAUCUGA